Molecule: transfer-messenger RNA, 102 nt
Filed under: Gemmatimonadaceae bacterium
Lineage: Bacteria; Pseudomonadati; Gemmatimonadota; Gemmatimonadia; Gemmatimonadales; Gemmatimonadaceae
Description: partial transfer-messenger RNA
Rfam family: transfer-messenger RNA
About the family: Bacterial tmRNA, also known as 10Sa RNA or SsrA, is named for its dual tRNA and mRNA-like properties. Its role is to liberate the mRNA from a stalled ribosome. To accomplish this part of the tmRNA is used as a reading frame that ends in a translation stop signal.
Source: RNAcentral
CCGCCGUCGGCGGGCACGAGACUUCAAAUGGCGUGCCUACGCACGUAGAUGUUCGUUCUGAAGCAUUCGCGGACGCGGGUUCGACUCCCGCCGCCUCCACCA